UGCUUUACACAUGCAAGUCGGGCGGCAGCAUGGAGUAGUAGCAAUACUAUUUUGAUGGCGAGCGGCGAACGGGUGAGUAAUACAUCGAGACGUGCCCAUUAGUGGGGGAUAACCUAUCGAAAGAUGGGCUAAUACCGCAUAAUCUCUGAGGAGGAAAGCUGGGGACUUAGGUAACUAGGCCUGGCGCUGAUGGAGCGGUCGAUGGUUGAUUAGCUAGUUGGUGAGGUAAAGGCUCACCAAGGCGAUGAUCAAUAGCUGUUCUGAGAGGAAGAUCAGCCACACUGGGACUGAGACACGGCCCAGACUCCUACGGGAGGCAGCAGUGGGGAAUUUUGGACAAUGGGGGCAACCCUGAUCCAGCAACGCCGCGUGAAUGAAGAAGGCCUUAGGGUUGUAAAGUUC
This 402-nucleotide ribosomal RNA is filed under the name uncultured organism. RNAcentral's name for it is "bacterial SSU rRNA". It matches the Rfam family "Bacterial small subunit ribosomal RNA", at positions 45 to 433 of the family's 1533-position model. The record is from RNAcentral.